UCGCUUCACUCUCUGAAAGUCUGAAGCUUUCCACUUUUCUCCAAUGGCAGACGAAGCCAACAGAACCGCAAGUCCUUUCUAUUCUCACUCCCCUCUCUUUCCACCUGUCAAAUUUUCAGUCUUUUGGCAUCCUUGUUUCUUCUGUACAUGACAAGAGAGACUGAUAAAAAACUCAUUUGAAGAUCGAAGUUGUCAACUUUUUUAAGCAUACAAUUUGAUUUGAUUGUUAUUUGGACAAAAAGAACAGGCUUUUAUAGAGCUACAAGACCGCAUGAUUGAGACCACUUCCAAAUUCAAGCAGGUCCAGAACCAGAUACGAACCAAGGAGGGAGAAAAGAAGCGUGCUUUCCUAACCUUAGAGGAGCUGCGGCAAGUUCUUGAUGAUACAAAUACAUACAAAUCUAUAGGCAUGCGUAGGCACUUGCUGUCCCACAGGAAUGCAUUAGCACAUUAUGGCUGAGGGAGAACGUGAGUGGUGCAAAGGUCAAAUGAUUUAGACUGAAUCGUGUUUUCCGGGCUGUCUGAAUUGAUGGCAGGUUGUUAUGAACUCAUGCUUUCUAUGUCACAUGGUGGUCAGGUUUGCCUUGGAGCCAAAGUCAGUUUUAAUGAGUGAACAAGAGCAGAAACUCAAAGAUAGGGAGACCGCAAUAUCCUCACUACAGAGGCAAAUCCCUCUCCCACCUCCUCCCCUCUCUCUCUCACGCACAGACACACUCACAUUGCGAUAAAACCAUCCAUUUAUUUCUAUAAAUGCAUGUCCAAACCAGCUCUAUUUCCAUGUUGCCUGGGACUUGUUUCUUCUUUUCAUCUGUUGUAUCUUCCCAAUCUAUUUCAGAGUUAUUGUUUGUUAAAAUCAUGAUGUAUUUCACUUUCUUAUUGGCUUAUCUUAUAUUUGAUAUCAGAUGUACUGAGUUUAGUAGUCCAUGAGUUUAAUGCUUGGUCUACCUUGUAUUCUCUUAUAUUCAAUAUCAGCUGUUCUAUUUUUCC
Molecule: long non-coding RNA, 987 nt
Organism: Populus trichocarpa (black cottonwood)
Lineage: Eukaryota; Viridiplantae; Streptophyta; Magnoliopsida; Malpighiales; Salicaceae
Exons: 3
Source: RefSeq, a predicted model, not a curated record